GACGAACGCUGGCGGCGUGCCUAAUACAUGCAAGUCGAACGCACAGUUUAUACCGUAGCUUGCUACACCAUAGACUGUGAGUUGCGAACGGGUGAGUAACGCGUAGGUAACCUGCCUGGUAGCGGGGGAUAACUAUUGGAAACGAUAGCUAAUACCGCAUAAUAUUAAUUAUUGCAUGAUAAUUAAUUGAAAGGUGCAAUUGCACCACUACCAGAUGGACCUGCGUUGUAUUAGCUAGUAGGUGAGGUAACGGCUCACCUAGGCGACGAUACAUAGCCGACCUGGGGAGGUGAUCGGCCAAACUGGGACUGGGACACGGCCCAGACUCCUUCGGGAGGCAGCAGUAGGGAAUCUUCGGCAAUGGACGAAAGUCUGACCGAGCAACGCCGCGUGAGUGAAGAAGGUUUUCGGAUCGUAAAGCUCUGUUGUAAGGGAAGAACGGGUGUGGGAGUGGAAAGUUCACACUGUGACGGUAUCUUACCAGAAAGGGACGGCUAACUACGUG
RNAcentral lists this ribosomal RNA (505 nucleotides) under uncultured bacterium. RNAcentral's name for it is "partial 16S ribosomal RNA". It matches the Rfam family "Bacterial small subunit ribosomal RNA", at positions 28 to 507 of the family's 1533-position model. The record is from RNAcentral.